This 655-nucleotide ribosomal RNA is filed under the name uncultured fungus. Its description in RNAcentral is "LSU rRNA". It matches the Rfam family "Eukaryotic large subunit ribosomal RNA", at positions 23 to 664 of the family's 3401-position model. Lineage: Eukaryota; Fungi. The record is from RNAcentral.
ACCCGCUGAACUUAAGCAUAUCAAUAAGCGGAGGAAAAGAAACUAACAAGGAUUCCCCUAGUAACGGCGAGUGAAGCGGGAAAAGCUCAAAUUUGAAAUCUGGCAGCCUCAGGUUGUCCGAGUUGUAAUCUAUAGAAACGUUUUCCGCGCCGGCCCAUGUACAAGUCCCUUGGAAUAGGGCGUCAUAGAGGGUGAGAAUCCCGUCCUUGACACGGACCACCGGUGCUUUGUGAUACGUUUUCAACGAGUCGAGUUGUUUGGGAAUGCAGCUCAAAAUGGGUGGUAAAUUCCAUCUAAAGCUAAAUAUUGGCGAGAGACCGAUAGCGAACAAGUACCGUGAGGGAAAGAUGAAAAGCACUUUGGAAAGAGAGUUAAACAGUAUGUGAAAUUGUUGAAAGGGAAACGAUUGAAGUCAGUCAUGUCUAUUGGACUCAGCCGGUUCUGCCGGUGUACUUCCUUUAGAUGGGGUCAACAUCAGUUUUGAUCGCUGGAAAAGGGCGGGAGGAAUGUAGCACUCUCGGGUGAACUUAUAGCCUUCCGUCGUAUACAGUGGUUGGGACUGAGGAACGCAGCAUGCCUUUAUGGCCGGGGUCCGCCCACGUACAUGCUUAGGAUGUUGACAUAAUGGCUUUAAACGACCCGUCUUGAAACACGG